RNAcentral lists this ribosomal RNA (450 nucleotides) under uncultured bacterium. RNAcentral's name for it is "bacterial SSU rRNA". It matches the Rfam family "Bacterial small subunit ribosomal RNA", at positions 354 to 796 of the family's 1533-position model. The record is from RNAcentral.
GUGGGGAAUUUUGGACAAUGGGGGCAACCCUGAUCCAGCAAUGCCGCGUGUGUGAAGAAGGCCUUCGGGUUGUAAAGCACUUUUGUCCGGGAAGAAAUCGCACCUGAUAAUACCGGGUGUGGAUGACGGUACCGGAAGAAUAAGGACCGGCUAACUACGUGCCAGCAGCCGCGGUAAUACGUAGGGUCCAAGCGUUAAUCGGAAUUACUGGGCGUAAAGCGUGCGCAGGCGGUUGUGCAAGACCGAUGUGAAAUCCCCGGGCUUAACCUGGGAAUUGCAUUGGUGACUGCACGGCUAGAGUGUGUCAGAGGGGGGUAGAAUUCCACGUGUAGCAGUGAAAUGCGUAGAGAUGUGGAGGAAUACCGAUGGCGAAGGCAGCCCCCUGGGAUAACACUGACGCUCAUGCACGAAAGCGUGGGGAGCAAACAGGAUUAGAUACCCGGGUAGUCC